RNAcentral lists this ribosomal RNA (781 nucleotides) under Clostridioides difficile. RNAcentral describes it as "partial 23S ribosomal RNA". It matches the Rfam family "Bacterial large subunit ribosomal RNA", at positions 683 to 1471 of the family's 2925-position model. Lineage: Bacteria; Bacillati; Bacillota; Clostridia; Peptostreptococcales; Peptostreptococcaceae. The record is from RNAcentral.
UUUAACUGAGCGUUCAGUUACUUGACGUAGACCCGAAACCGGGCGACCUACCCAUGAGCAGGAUGAAGCGAAAGUAAAAUUUCGUGGAGGUCCGAACCCACGAGCGUUGAAAAGCUCGGGGAUGACUUGUGGGUAGCGGUGAAAUUCCAAUCGAGCCCGGAGAUAGCUGGUUCUCCCCGAAAUAGCUUUAGGGCUAGCCUCAAGGUGAGAGAUACGGAGGUAGAGCACUGAAUGUCCUAGGGGGUAUUGCACCUACCGAAGACUAUCAAACUCCGAAUGCCGUCAUCUUAUACUUGGGAGUCAGACUGUGGGUGAUAAGAUUCAUAGUCGAAAGGGCAACAGCCCAGAUCGUCAGCUAAGGUCCCUAAAUGUAAGUUAAGUGGUAAAGGAUGUGGGAUUGCACAGACAACCAGGAUGUUGGCUUAGAAGCAGCCACUCAUUCAAAGAGUGCGUAAUAGCUCACUGGUCGAGUGAUCCUGCGCCGAAGAUUUCCGGGGCUAAAACUUACUACCGAAGCUACGGCAUCAGUAAUGAUGGGUAGGGGAGCUUCCCAUACGGGUUGAAGCAUGACCGUAAGGACAUGUGGACAGUAUGGGAGUGAGAAUGUUGGCAUGAGUAGCGAGAUGUGGGUGAGAAUCCCACAGGCCGUAAACCCAAGGUUUCCAGGGGAAGGUUCGUCCGCCCUGGGUUAGUCGGGACCUAAGCUGAGGCCGAAAGGCGUAGGUGAUGGACAACAGGUUGAUAUUCCUGUACUACCGAUAACCGUUUGAGAGAAGGGAUG